Molecule: ribosomal RNA, 410 nt
Filed under: Bacteroidota bacterium
Lineage: Bacteria; Pseudomonadati; Bacteroidota
Description: Bacteroidetes bacterium partial 16S ribosomal RNA
Rfam family: Bacterial small subunit ribosomal RNA
Source: RNAcentral
UGGGGAAUAUUGCGCAAUGGGGGAAACCCUGACGCAGCGACGCCGCGUGCGGGAUGAAGGCCUUCGGGUUGUAAACCGCUUUUGAUUGGGAGCAAGCUUUCGGGUGAGUGUACCUUUCGAAUAAGCGCCGGCUAACUACGUGCCAGCAGCCGCGGUAAUACGUAGGGCGCAAGCGUUAUCCGGAUUUAUUGGGCGUAAAGCGAGCGCAGGCGGUUAGAUAAGUCUGAAGUUAAAGGCAGUGGCUCAACCAUUGUAGGCUUUGGAAACUGUUUAACUUGAGUGCAGAAGGGGAGAGUGGAAUUCCAUGUGUAGCGGUGAAAUGCGUAGAUAUAUGGAGGAACACCGGUGGCGAAAGCGGCUCUCUGGUCUGUAACUGACGCUGAGGCUCGAAAGCGUGGGGAGCGAACAGG